Molecule: long non-coding RNA, 971 nt
Filed under: Sorghum bicolor (sorghum)
Lineage: Eukaryota; Viridiplantae; Streptophyta; Magnoliopsida; Poales; Poaceae
Description: long non-coding RNA (SBIC_LNC018418)
Source: RNAcentral
AGCCAAUCAUAUCACUUCAUGUUUCUAUGAUUUUUACUCUCUCUCUUUAAUAACUACAUUGCCACAUCAGCAAAAUGCUUAGGUGCCACUGCAAUUAAUGUCUAUAGAAACCAUGGUAGUUUCUGCAUUGGGAGUGCCCUAAAAAUCAAUAGGUAUAGAAACUGUUGAUGCAAAAGUUGAUCUGCAAACACAAAGGGCUAACGAUCCUGGAUACGUGUCCAAAAACGGUGUCAACAGAAACUAUAUGUAGUUUCUAGCAUUGGGAGUGCCCUAAGGGAUUUUGACAUUAUUUGUGGUAUCCACAAUGUGCUUCGCAAUAGGAGAUUCACAAAAAUCAUCAUCCCAGCGCUAUGUUUACAUUUGGGCUAUCCUCACAACGAGUAAUCCUCUGAACCAAGUCGCCUUCUGCCAUUAUUUUACUUUUAUUUUUUAUUUUUUGAUAAUGACCCAGCAUAUAGCGGAUGUUGUGGUACUUUUGUAUCCUUAGGAGUAGUGAAGAUUCGUUAAGAGUACUUCCUCCAUUUCAUAUUGUAAUUUAUUAUAAAAAUAUUAGAGAGUCAAAAUAUCUCAAAUUUGAUCAAAACUAUAGAAAAAAUUACAAAUAUUUAUGACAUCAAUUAGAUAUACUAUAAAAAUAUAAUUAAUAAAGAAUAUAAUAUUACUGUCAUUAUAAAUGUUAUUAUUUUAUAAUAUAAAUUUAGUUAAACAUGAUAUUCUUAAAAUGACUUAUAAUUUAGGAUAAAGAAAGUAACAUUCUUUGCACUAGCCGGUGUACCGGUUAAUGUAUUAAAUGUAUUUUUUUUUAGGAGUCAUGGAUAAAGGGUUGACUGAUCGAUUAACAAGGGAUUCCAGCCAUUGCAAGUUGCAACAGGGGAAAAAAAAGGAACGAACCAAGCCUGUAGAGCCGGAACAAGCACAUUCAGAGGUAGAAGGUGGACGAAAUGGUGAAGACGAUUGUAUUGUAGCUCCAG